This 253-nucleotide ribosomal RNA is filed under the name uncultured bacterium. RNAcentral's name for it is "partial 16S ribosomal RNA". It matches the Rfam family "Bacterial small subunit ribosomal RNA", at positions 524 to 776 of the family's 1533-position model. The record is from RNAcentral.
GACAGAGGGGGCAAGCGUUGCUCGGAAUUACUGGGCGUAAAGGGCUCGUAGGCGGCCAACUAAGUCAUACGUGAAAUCCCUCAGCUUAACUGGGGAACUGCGUGUGAUACUGGAUGGCUUGGAUUUGGGAGAGGGAUGCGGAAUUCCAGGUGUAGCGGUGAAAUGCGUAGAUAUCUGGAGGAACACCGGUGGCGAAGGCGGCAUCCUGGACCAAUAUUGACGCUGAGGAGCGAAAGCCAGGGGAGCAAACGGG